GAUGAACGCUGGCGGCGGGCCUAACACAUGCAAGUCGAGCGAACGCACGGGAAGCUUUCUCCUCUGAUGUUGGCGGCGGGCGGGCGGGUGACACGUGCAUAACCUACCUAUAAUACUGGGAUAACUACGGGGAACAGGAUCUAAUAACGGCUGAUAUUUUGAACCGGACGGUUCAAGAGUGAAACGCAGUCUUGCUGUCUCUUAUAGAUGGAUCCGCGCUGCAUUAGCUACGUGGUAAGGUCACGGCUAAGCAAGGCGACGAUGCAUAGCUGAGCUGAGAGGAUGAUCAGCCACACUGGAACUGAGACACGGUCCAGACUCCUACGGGAGGCAGCAGUGGGGAAUCUUAGACAAUGGGCGAAAGCCUGACGGAGCAAAGCCGCGUGAGUGAUGAAGGGCUUCGGAUCGUAAAUCUCUGUUGUUAUGGAAGAACAUAAGUGUAAGUAACGGUGCACAUUUUGACGGUACCUAAUCAGAAAGCCCCGGCUAACUACGUG
This 497-nucleotide ribosomal RNA is filed under the name uncultured bacterium. Its description in RNAcentral is "partial 16S ribosomal RNA". It matches the Rfam family "Bacterial small subunit ribosomal RNA", at positions 28 to 507 of the family's 1533-position model. The record is from RNAcentral.